AAAAUUAGAAAGACCAAGGCACCAAACGAGCUCAAAUUAGCUAGAGACAUAGAGGGUAACAAGGAAACAUUCCACAAAUACAUUAGAAGCAAGAGGAAGACCAAGGACAGGGUAGGCCUUUCAGGGGGAAGGAGGAGGAA
This is a long non-coding RNA of Gopherus evgoodei (Goodes thornscrub tortoise), 140 nucleotides long. RefSeq lists it as uncharacterized. Lineage: Eukaryota; Metazoa; Chordata; Testudines; Testudinidae. The transcript has 3 exons. The record is from RefSeq and is a predicted model, not a curated record.